This 404-nucleotide ribosomal RNA is filed under the name uncultured bacterium. RNAcentral's name for it is "bacterial SSU rRNA". It matches the Rfam family "Bacterial small subunit ribosomal RNA", at positions 355 to 775 of the family's 1533-position model. The record is from RNAcentral.
UAAGGAAUCUUCCGCAAUGGGCGCAAGCCUGACGGAGCGACGCCGCGUGCAUGACGAAGCCCUUCGGGGUGUAAAAUGCUUUUCUCCGGGACGAUGCAAGACGGUACCGGGGGAAGAAGCCUCGGCUAACUACGUGCCAGCAGCCGCGGUAAUACGUAGGAGGCGAGCGUUGUCCGGAAUCACUGGGCGUAAAGCGCGUGUAGGCGGGAAGGCAAGUCUGCUGUGAAAGCGCCUGGCUUAACCGGGCGAGGUCGGCGGAAACUGCUUACCUGGAGGACGGUAGAGGGGGGUGGAAUUCCCGGUGUAGUGGUGAAAUGCGUAGAGAUCGGGAGGAACACCUGUGGCGAAGGCGGCCCCCUGGGCCGGCCCUGACGCUGAGACGCGAAGGCGUGGGGAGCGAACGG